AGUUUACAUGAGGAGUUUGUUAGUGUUAGAUCUCUCCAUUAUGUUUACUUAAACUAACAGCUUGUUACAUAUAAGAAAAAGACUUGCAAUGGAAACAACCAAAUUAAUGUUAAUAUUAUUUACAUACAAAGAAGAGAAAAAAAUUGAUGUCUACAUGAGUUAUUCUUAAUCAACAAUUACAGUUACAUAGUUCAGAUUACUGGUUUUAGCUGGUGGGUGCUACAAUUUUGCUGGUGCUGGACUCUCAACUCUGAAGCCGCCGCUAUGCCAAUCGCUACCAUCGACAUCAAAAAUGGAGAAAAUACGCUGAAGUUCCCAUACACCGCCAAUACCAAAGAGUAUGGGGUGAAUGCUGAGGCGGAUCCAGGGAGCGAAUGCCGUUGUUACUGGAUCUCUGGAACAUCUUAAAUAGUGCGGUUGUGAAUAGAAUAAAAUGAAGUGAAAAUUGAACUCUGAAAGUAUUAGGAGUAACAA
RNAcentral lists this long non-coding RNA (474 nucleotides) under Penaeus japonicus. RNAcentral describes it as "uncharacterized LOC122248095". Lineage: Eukaryota; Metazoa; Arthropoda; Malacostraca; Decapoda; Penaeidae. The record is from RNAcentral.